CCUACGGGUGGCAGCAGUGAGGAAUAUUGGUCAAUGGACGAGAGUCUGAACCAGCCAAGUCGCGUGAAGGAUGACUGCCCUAUGGGUUGUAAACUUCUUUUAUAAAGGAAUAAAACGAGGCAAGUGUGCCUUUUUGCAUGUACUUUAUGAAUAAGGAUAGGCUAACUCCGUGCCAGCAGCCGCGGUAAUGCGGAGGAUCCGAGCGUUAUCCGGAUUUAUUGGGUUUAAAGGGAGCGUAGAUGGGUUGUUAAGUCAGUUGUGAAAGUUUGCGGCUCAACCGUAAAAUUGCAAUUGAUACUGGCAGUCUUGAGUAAAGUUGAGGUAGGCGGAAUUCGUGGUGUAGCGGUGAAAUGCUUAGAUAUCACGAAGAACCCCGAUUGCGAAGGCAGCUUACUAAACUGUGACUGACAUUGAUGCUCGAAAGUGUGGGUAGCAAACAGGAUUAGAUACCCUAGUAGUC
Molecule: ribosomal RNA, 460 nt
Filed under: uncultured bacterium
Lineage: Bacteria
Description: partial 16S ribosomal RNA
Rfam family: Bacterial small subunit ribosomal RNA
Source: RNAcentral